UAAUACAUAGGUAACCUACCCUUAAGACGAGGAUAGCCAUUGGAAACGAUGGAUAAAACUGGAUAGGAUAUAGAGGAAGAAUCUUUUAUAUUUAAAAGAGAGAUCUGCUUAAGGAGGGGCCUGUGGCGCAUUAGCUAGUUGGUGGGGUAAGGGCCUACCAAGGCGAUGAUGCGUAGCCGGACUGAGAGGUUGAACGGCCACAAUGGAACUGAGAACGGUCCAUACUCCUACGGGAGGCAGCAGUAGGGAAUUUUCGGCAAUGGGGGGAACCCUGACCGAGCAACGCCGCGUGAACGAAGAAGUUAUUCGUAAUGUAAAGUUCUUUUAUCAGGGAAGAAAGAGGAAUUUGACGGUACCUGAGGAAUAAGCUCCGGCUAACUACGUGCCAGCAGCCGCGGUAAUACGUAGGGAGCGAGCGUUAUCCGGAAUUAUUGGGCGUAAAGGGUGCGUAGAUGGCAUAGUAAGUCUUUUGUAAAAAUGCUGGGCUCAACCCAGUAGGGCAAAAGAUACUGCAAAGCUAGAGUAUGACAGAGGCAAGUGGAACUACAUGUGUAGCGGUAAAAUGCGUAAAUAUAUGUAAGAACACCAGUGGCGAAGGCGGCUUGCUGGGUCGAUACUGACAUUGAGGCACGAAAGCG
This 638-nucleotide ribosomal RNA is filed under the name uncultured bacterium. RNAcentral's name for it is "bacterial SSU rRNA". It matches the Rfam family "Bacterial small subunit ribosomal RNA", at positions 111 to 761 of the family's 1533-position model. The record is from RNAcentral.